UGCCAGCCGCCGCGGUAAUACGAAGGGGGCUAGCGUUGUCCGGAUUUACUGGGUGUAAAGGGCGCGCAGGCGGAUUUGUCAGUCAGGGGUGAAAUCCUACAGCUUAACUGUAGAACUGCCUUUGAUACUGCAAAUCUUGAGUUCGGAAGGGAGAGGCGGAAUUCCAGGUGUAGUGGUGAAAUACGUAGAUAUUCGGUGGAACACCAGUGGCGAAGGCGACUAACUGGACUGAUACUGACGCUGAGGUGCGAAAGUGUGGGGAGCAAACAGGAUUAGAUA
RNAcentral lists this ribosomal RNA (279 nucleotides) under uncultured bacterium. RNAcentral's name for it is "partial 16S ribosomal RNA". It matches the Rfam family "Bacterial small subunit ribosomal RNA", at positions 506 to 784 of the family's 1533-position model. The record is from RNAcentral.